This 212-nucleotide small nucleolar RNA is filed under the name Ipomoea nil (Japanese morning glory). RNAcentral's name for it is "Plant small nucleolar RNA U3". It matches the Rfam family "Plant small nucleolar RNA U3". Rfam says of the family: Small nucleolar RNAs (snoRNAs) are involved in the processing and modification of rRNA in the nucleolus. There are two main classes of snoRNAs: the box C/D class, and the box H/ACA class. Lineage: Eukaryota; Viridiplantae; Streptophyta; Magnoliopsida; Solanales; Convolvulaceae. The record is from Rfam by way of RNAcentral.
ACGACCUUACUUGAACAGGAUUUGUUCUAUAGGCUCGUAUCUCUGUAUCCUUGAGUUCUAAGGAGACAGGAAACCAAGCUUGGUGGAUGAAUUUAUGGCCAAGAGAUUGGAGCGUGAUUAACAGCUCUAGUCCUUCAUUGGGAUGAGCUGUAGAGGAUCGUUCUCAGCCAUGGGUUCAUGGUUGGGGUGGUCUCUUGGCUGUCUGACAAGCU